GACGAACGCUGGCGGCGUGCUUAACACAUGCAAGUCGAACGGAAAGGCCCUGCUUUUGUGGGGUGCUCGAGUGGCGAACGGGUGAGUAACACGUGAGUAACCUGCCCUUGACUUUGGGAUAACUUCAGGAAACUUGGGCUAAUACCGGAUAUGAGCUCCUGCUGCAUGGUGGGGGUUGGAAAGUUUCGGCGGGUGGCGUUGGACUCGCGGCUUAUCAGCUUGUUGGUGGGGUAGUGGCUUACCUAGGCUUUGACGGGUCGCCGGCCUGAGAGGGUGACCGGGCACAAUGGGACUGAGAGACGGACCAGACGCCUACGGGAGGCAGCAGUGGGGAAUAUUGCACAAUGGGCGGAAGCCUGAUGCAGCAACGCCGCGUGCGGGAUGACGGCCUUCGGGGUGUAAACCGCUUUCGCCUGUGACGAAGCGUGAGUGACGGUAAUGGGUAAAGAAGCACCGGCUAACUACGUG
RNAcentral lists this ribosomal RNA (468 nucleotides) under uncultured bacterium. Its description in RNAcentral is "partial 16S ribosomal RNA". It matches the Rfam family "Bacterial small subunit ribosomal RNA", at positions 28 to 507 of the family's 1533-position model. The record is from RNAcentral.